Molecule: ribosomal RNA, 247 nt
Filed under: uncultured bacterium
Lineage: Bacteria
Description: partial 16S ribosomal RNA
Rfam family: Bacterial small subunit ribosomal RNA
Source: RNAcentral
AUACGUAGGUGGCGAGCGUUAUCCGGAUUUACUGGGUGUAAAGGGCGUGUAGGCGGUUUCGUAAGUCGGAUGUGAAAUUCCCAGGCUUAACCUGGGAGCUGCAUCCGAAACUACAGAACUUGAGUACUGGAGAGGAUAGUGGAAUUCCUAGUGUAGCGGUAAAAUGCGUAGAUAUUAGGAGGAACAUCAGUGGCGAAGGCGACUAUCUGGACAGUAACUGACGCUGAGGCGCGAAAGCGUGGGGAGC